RNAcentral lists this transfer RNA (73 nucleotides) under Candidatus Parcubacteria bacterium. RNAcentral's name for it is "tRNA-Arg". It matches the Rfam family "tRNA". Rfam says of the family: Transfer RNA (tRNA) molecules are approximately 80 nucleotides in length. Their secondary structure includes four short double-helical elements and three loops (D, anti-codon, and T loops). The record is from RNAcentral. Lineage: Bacteria; Candidatus Parcubacteria.
GUCCCCGUAGUUUAAUGGAUAAAAUUUUUGGUUGCGGACCAAAAGAGUGGAGGUUCGAAUCCUCCCGGGGACA